GGCUGCACGCUGGCGCAGUUGGUAGCACUGUUGCCUUACAGGAGGAGGUCCUGGGUUCGAUUCCCGGCCUGGGGUCU
Characodon lateralis is the source of this 77-nucleotide non-coding RNA. Lineage: Eukaryota; Metazoa; Chordata; Actinopteri; Cyprinodontiformes; Goodeidae. The record is from the annotation of a GenBank genome assembly.